CAGUAGCCGCGGUAAUACGAAGGGUGCAAGCGUUAAUCGGAAUUACUGGGCGUAAAGCGUGCGUAGGCGGUUUGUUAAGUCUGCUGUGAAAUCCCCGGGCUCAACCUGGGAAUGGCAGUGGAUACUGGCAAGCUAGAGUGUGUCAGAGGAUGGUGGAAUUCCCGGUGUAGCGGUGAAAUGCGUAGAGAUCGGGAGGAACAUCAGUGGCGAAGGCGGUUAUCUGGGACAACACUGACGCUGAGGCACGAAAGCGUGGGGAGCAAACAGGAUUAGAUACCCCCGUAGUCCCUGUCUCUUAUAC
Molecule: ribosomal RNA, 301 nt
Filed under: uncultured bacterium
Lineage: Bacteria
Description: partial 16S ribosomal RNA
Rfam family: Bacterial small subunit ribosomal RNA
Source: RNAcentral